UGUGUAACAAGUGGAGCGUGUUUA
RNAcentral lists this microRNA (24 nucleotides) under Strongylocentrotus purpuratus (purple sea urchin). Its description in RNAcentral is "spu-miR-4849". The record is from miRBase by way of RNAcentral. Lineage: Eukaryota; Metazoa; Echinodermata; Echinoidea; Camarodonta; Strongylocentrotidae.